UAAAUUGCAAUCACGUGCCGUUUUAUCUAUCAUCACGUGAUAUUUGUGAAGGCAGUGAUACUGUACUGCAAGGGAAGUAACACUGCGCGGAGUUUGGAAGGAAAUGUGUUGCCGGCCCAUUGUCCGCAUUUCCAGAAUGGUGAAAGCCAAAGUAUGUUCAGGAUGGAACAUCACAGGAAAGAUCCAGUGCAUCAGAAGGGACAGUACACACCAUCUUUCAUUCCCACCAUUCUUUGUGAAGAGGAAUCCAAAUGUUCUUUGGCCUGAUCGAGUUCUUAUGGGUGCCUUGAGCCAUCCUAGGAGGCAUCCCAAGUAACAACAUUAAGAACGUAUAAAUGUUUGAACUGUGCAGACUUCUUGUUGUGAGAAAAAAAGCCUGCAGCCAAUGAGAUAGAAAUGGAGAGAAGGGCAAUAGCAGCUUGCACACGUCAAGGAUCUGCAGCGCAUGAAACCCCUUAAACUGAAGAUGAUGUUCCUGAAGCCUAGAGAUGUCAGCACUCGCAGUCAGCCGCUUUAUCAUCCAUUGCUCCAUUAACCUCAUCCACCUGGUCAACACAAUUCAAACAUACCAGAUACAGACUCAGUUAAAACAGAUAUGGGUGCAAGUCAUGACACUUUUACAGAUUAAAGAUGUCCGAGAUUCACGAUGAAUGCUGUUUGAAGAAGAAUGAACAGAAUCACAUUUUAAUUUAAUCUCACUGCCAAUGUGGACUUAAAGAGGACGGGCUCUGUUAUGACAACUGUAUUUUUAAGUAACAGAGAUAAGGGUGUUAUUGGAAUCAUUUCAAUAAAAUAUGGGAGUACCGGUACAUACCAGUUUGAUAUCUUGAUUAGACUGGGACUUAAACUUAAACAAAAACGAUAGAUAUUGGACCUCUCUAAUACACAUUAUAAACAUCUCAUGUCUUAAGUCAAUAACAAAGCUGUAAUAAGGCGAUAUUUAGUGUAAUUAACACUUAGGGCUAUUCUCCUAAAACAUAUAACCACCGGGUUUGGCAGAUUUUUAAUAAUAUAUGGUUGGGCUUUUUUGCUAAUUUGCACCCCAAAAGGCACAUUUGCUUUUGUAUGGGGUUGGCAUAAAAACUUAAUAAAUGCCUCCCCUCCAGUGGUUAUAUUUUUAAAUGGACAAAAUAUCAAACUGGUAUGUACCUUAUCAACAUUUUUAGCUGGACUAUUUGAAUAAUAAGGAGGGUUAUACCACUCGCCUCAGCAUCUGCUUUGGCUUUAGCGUCCGGUUAAAGUUUAAGACCAAGUUGGGAUUUUCACUCAUAGGGAUUUUCACUCAUAACUGCAAAACCCUUCAUUAAAGUCACUUAAUACUCCAUACAGUUGUUCAGGGUCAUUACAUAAUGAGGUUAAUACUUCAAUAGCCUUCAUUCAAUGGACUUAAUACCUUGCACAAUUAAUGAUGAACAUCUUACAAUAAGGUGACAUAACUCCAUUUUAACUAAAUACAAAUUAUUGCCCUUUUUUCAUUUUUAUUUCUUAUGUCAGGCACAUUUAUAUAUUCUUAACAGGGUUUUUGAAAGCUAAUUGUUUGGGCGGGCUGGUGGAAGGGUCUUCAAAGUCACCUUAUGUGUAAAAUAAUUUUAGCUAGGUUUGACAUAUAGUGACCAAACUUCGUAUGUAGGAAGCCUUUAUGAAGACCUUUCAUGAGAUUGCGUUUUAGGCUUCUGGGAUCAAUAUAAAGGUCAAAGUUAUUAUUAAAAGCAAAAGAACUGGUAUUGAUUAACUUAAAGGUCGACAUAUUGUGACCAAACUUGGUUUAUAUGAAAGUUCAUACAGACUUUUUAUGCCCCCGAAGGUGGGCAUAUUAAAAUUGCACCGUCCGUCCGUCCGGCUCUGUAACUUUCCCUUGUAUGGACAGAUUUUAAAAUAACUUGCCAAAUGUGUUCCACAUACCAAGACGACGUGUGGCGUGCAAGACCCGUGUCCCUACCUCAAAGGUCAAGGUCACACUUAGUGUUUAUUCACAAUGGAGUGCUGCAUAUAAGGACAUAGAGUAUAGGUUGUCGUGUCCGGGCUGUAACUUUCUCUUGUAUGGACAGAUUUUAAAAUAACUUGCCACAUGUGUACCACAUACCAAGACGACGUGUCGCGUGCAAAACCCGUGUCCCUACCUCAAAGGACAAGGUCACACUUAGUGUUUAUUCACCAUAGAGUGCUGCAUAUAAGCAUAGAGUAUAGGUUGUCGUGUCCGGGCUGUAACUUUCCCUUGUAUGGACAGAUUUUAAAAUAACUUGCCACAUGUGUACCACAUACCAAGACGACGUGUCGCGUGCAAAACCCGUGUCCCUACCUCAAAGGACAAGGUCACACUUAGUGUUUAUUCACCAUAGAGUGCUGCAUAUAAGCAUAGAGUAUAGGUUGUCGUGUCCGGGCUGUAACUUUCCCUUGUAUGGACAGAUUUUAAAAUAACUUGCCACAUGUGUACCACAUACCAAGACGACGUGUCGCGUGCAAGACCCGUGUCCCUACCUCAAAGGUCAAGGUCACACUUAGUGUUUAUUCACAAUGGAGUGCUGCAUAUAAGGACAUAGAGUAUAGGUUGUCGUGUCCGGGCUGUUACUUUCUCUUGUAUGGACAGAUUUUAAAAUAACUUGCCACACGUGUUCUACAUACCAAGACGAUGUGUCGCGUGCAAGACCCGUGUCCCUACCUCAAAGGUCAAGGUCACACUUAGUGUUUAUUUACAAUGGAGUGCUGCAUACAAGGACAUAGGGUAUAGGUUGUCGUGUCCGGACUGUAACUUUCCCUUGUAAAGACAGAUUUUAAAAUAACUUGCUACAUGUGUUCCACAUACGAAGACGACGUGUCCUGUGCAAGACCCAUGUCCCUACCUCUAAGGUGAAAGAUACACUAAGUGUUUAUUCACAAGGGAAUUCUGAAUAUAAGGACAUAACAGUGUAGGUUGUCAAGUAUGGGUGGUAUUUUUUUAUGUUCAGAGGAAAUUUAAAAUAACUUGCCAUAUGUAUUUGACACAUAAAGGCAAGAUCAACUUUUCAUGUACUGGCCUUGUUCGUAGGUCAAUGUCACAUUUGGGGGCAUUCGUCACAUACUGUGACAGCUCUUGUUUAUUGUGUUUUGGGUUAUGAUCUAGGUCAAAGUCAGUAUUGCUGAAAAGUACAAUUAUAGUUGGUACUGAAUAAGUAAGGGGUGACAAUGUGUGACCAAACUUGGUAUAUAUGACAAGUUAAUGGAGAGCUUUCAUUCGAAUGCCUUGGGCCCCUUAGGGUCAAUGUCACUGUUACUAAAAAAAUAUUACUUUUUGGUACUGAAUACCAUAAGUUAUGGUUGAUAUACUGUGACCAAACUUGAUAUAUAGGAAGAGUUUAUUGAGAACUUUCAUGAGAUUGUGUUUUGGGCGCAUAGGAUCUAGGUCACUGUUAUAAAAAUAGAAGACAGCAGUUGAAACUGAACUUCUUCUGCCAAUCCUUAACAAAACAAUUAUUGUCACAUCACGAUUCUUGUUUACUUUUUAAAUUGAUUUUUCUAUUGCUUUUGACAAGCACAUAUUACAUCAUAAUGUAAGAAGAUACAUUGUUAAAAAAAAAACAGAAAAUGUUAAUUUGAAUAAGAGUGUCACUUCUUUUAAAUUUGUAGCUGUUUACUUACCAUGAAUUUAUCUUUAAAUACAACUUGUACUUUUUAUGUGUAGGGUACGAGUUGGACCAUAUUGAGAGAUUGUUUUAAUUAGCAUAUGCUAAAACAUACUGUGACUGUUGUUGCUGCCUUUUAAUUUUAUGAAAAGUAUUGCUUUAUUAUUUUUUUAAAUUCCAUAUUCUUAAGCUCCUAAUUCUUGUCAGGUAAUUUUUAAAUCAAAUUAAUUGUUAAAGUGACACUCUUAUUCAAAAUCAAUGCAUACAUAUGUAUAACAAACAUAUGUUUUGAGUGAUAAACCUUUAACUACUUACUAAAUAAUGCAUUGAUGGAACAUAUUUAUUACUGGUAGCAAGUUUGUAACCCUGUAUUUAAUAACAGAAAACGCAAAAAUAUUUAAUGAUUGAUGAAUGCUAAAAGAUUUACUGUGAUCUACUUUAAUAGUCUCAUAAGGUAGAUACACCAUGUUUUAUGCACAUUUCUUUCAAAUCAAAAUCGGUAUCCUUCAUGAGAACCAUUGCUUUCAACAUUCAUUUAUUCUUUUCACAAUAUUAAAACAAUAGUAUUAGUAGUGGUAAACCUUUUUGGGAGUAAGAGUGCAUCUUUAAAAAAUGUGUUUAAUGUGGAUAUAUUAUGAUCUAUGUGUCUUUGCACGUAUGCACUUGCUAGUAUUGCCUAAGAAUUUGACCUCUGAUAUUUUAUGUAGUAGUUAGAUGAUAUGAAGUAAAUUCUGUCAGAGUUAGUGGAACUAAUGAUCCAUUCUUAAUCAUUGAAAUGUACUAACAAGGCAUCUCACAGUCUUAUGUCUUUGUAUGCCUUUGAGGUUAUGUCUCCACAAAUCUUUAUCAUGGCCUGACAGUCUGCUUUCUUUAAUUUGUGUCUUUGUAUUAAAAAUAUGUAUUAUUUUUAAUACAUAUUUUAUUUAUAGUACUGCAUUUAUCUCCUAUCGAUUUUCAUGUUUUAUGUAACUUGAAACUUUCAUUAAGUUGUAAAAACAUUAAAUCUGUGAGAGUGUAGCUUUAAGAGAAACAUUAGUGAUUUUAGCAUCAAACUUGUUUUAUAUGUUCUUUUUAAGUUCUAGGUUAUUCUGUAAUCAUUAACCAUCAUUGUGCCAUAGAUAGACCUGUGAAAAAUUAUUAUAAUGUACUAUGUUAUAUUAUUGAAUAAAAUACUGAACAUGUUA
Molecule: long non-coding RNA, 4783 nt
Organism: Mya arenaria
Lineage: Eukaryota; Metazoa; Mollusca; Bivalvia; Myida; Myidae
Exons: 8
Source: RefSeq, a predicted model, not a curated record